RNAcentral lists this ribosomal RNA (492 nucleotides) under uncultured bacterium. Its description in RNAcentral is "partial 16S ribosomal RNA". It matches the Rfam family "Bacterial small subunit ribosomal RNA", at positions 29 to 507 of the family's 1533-position model. The record is from RNAcentral.
AGUGAACGCUGGCGGUAGGCCUAACACAUGCAAGUCGAACGGCAGCACAGUAAGAGCUUGCUCUUACGGGUGGCGAGUGGCGGACGGGUGAGGAAUACAUCGGAAUCUACUUUUUCGUGGGGGAUAACGUAGGGAAACUUACGCUAAUACCGCAUACGACCUACGGGUGGAAGCAGGGGAUCUUCGGACCUUGCGCGAUUGAAUGAGCCGAUGUCGGAUUAGCUAGUUGGCGGGGUAAAGGCCCACCAAGGCGACGAUGCGUAGCUGGUCUGAGAGGAGGAUCAGCCACACUGGAACUGAGACACGGUCCAGACUCCUACGGGAGGCAGCAGUGGGGAAUAUUGGACAAUGGGCGGAAGCCUGAUCCAGCCAUACCGCGUGGGUGAAGAAGGCCUUCGGGUUGUAAAGCCCUUUUGUUGGGAAAGAAAAGCAGCAGGUUAAUACCCCGCUGUUUUGACGGUACCCAAAGAAUAAGCACCGGCUAACUUCGUG